This 288-nucleotide long non-coding RNA is filed under the name Salvia miltiorrhiza (redroot sage). RNAcentral describes it as "long non-coding RNA (SMIL_LNC009937)". The record is from RNAcentral. Lineage: Eukaryota; Viridiplantae; Streptophyta; Magnoliopsida; Lamiales; Lamiaceae.
UCUUUCAAUUUUCACCGCAUCCCCUCUUCCAAUUUUCUUCAUCCUUCAAAUCCCCCCCUUCAAUUUCACCGCCGAUUGCCAAUCACCGGCGACCGGGCCGUCCCCACCGCCACCCGCAUUCGCCUCCGCUGGCUUCCACGUAUCCCUGCCUUAGAAAGCCAUCACAGAAGCUCUGCCUCCGCCGGAAACUACGUCGUCUGCCUUCGCCGCUCUGCUGUGCUUCCGGAAACGACGUCGCAAAGCCUCCGCCGCUCCAAAUCCGUUGUGGCUAUACACCAUUGCUGGAGA